RNAcentral lists this long non-coding RNA (327 nucleotides) under Homo sapiens (human). RNAcentral describes it as "long non-coding RNA NONHSAT148873". The record is from RNAcentral. Lineage: Eukaryota; Metazoa; Chordata; Mammalia; Primates; Hominidae.
UGUCUGGGUAGAUGUAGAUCCGUGCUGGCAGGCGACUGCGGCCCGUGACAAAGCGCAGGAAGCGGCUCCGGUCCUCUGGAGGGAGAAGGAAAUCGGUCAGCAAGUCCAGCACAGCCUGUGGUACCACCUUCAGCAGACCUGCCUGCAUAGCUGCCACCUGGGGAGUUACCUGCUCCUUGCUCUCCUCUAGCCGUGCCUUCUGGACCAGUUGGAUGAAACGAGAACGGUCCCCAUAUCCCACGACGAUGCCUGCACCCCCAGGGAUCAGCUCCACCACCUGUUGGUCACUCAGUACAGUGGUGAAUGUUAGUUCCUUCCCAAACUUGA